AUGGAGCAUAUGUGGACGCCAUUGAUCUUGCUGCAGCUGCUCCUAGCGGCAGCUGCAACAGCAGCCACCACCGCGACGACUGCUGGGUGUCGGCCGAGCUGCGGCGGCGUGGACAUCCCCUACCCUUUCGGCAUCGGCGUCGGCUGCUUCCGCAAGGGCUUCGAGAUCGAGUGCAUCAACAACAGCCCUGUGCUCGCCGGUACGUCCCUCCGCGUGGUGAAGCUGACGUUGGAUCCAGACCAGUCGCAGGUGAUGCUCCCCAUGGGGUGGCAGUGCUAUAACGCCUCCGACCCAGGUGACACCAACAGCAACUGGGACUAUGGAGAGACGACCAUGAACAAGGACGGCGUGUACCGCAUCUCCAGCACCCACAACAUGCUCGUCGUCGUCGGCUGCAACACCUUGGGCUUCACGGCGAGCAAGAGGACCGAGGGCGGCACUGCUAACUACGCCUACUACACCGGGUGCAUGUCCUACUGCAACAACUCGGCUAGCGCGCAGGACGGCCUAUGUGAUGGCGUAGGGUGCUGCCGCGUCAACAUCCCGCCGGGGCUCACCGACAACUACUUCAACUUCCGGGAGUUCGACCACUCCAGCAUGAUGGACUACAGCCCGUGCGACUACGCCUUCCUCGCUGACAGGAACAACUACACAUUCCGCCGGUCCCACCUCAAGAUGGACACAAAACGGUCCUCGCCGGUGUGGCUGGACUGGGCCAUUCGCGGCAACAGCUCCAUCUCCGGUGACAUACCGUCGUGCAAGCAAGCAGCCAAGACCGACCAGUACGCCUGUGUCAGCGCUCAUAGCGACUGCGUCGACUCCAUCAACGGGCCUGGCUACAACUGCAAGUGCUCCAAUGGCUACGAGGGCGACGCCUACUUGCCCAAUGGAUGCACUAAUAUAGAUGAAUGUGCAGAUCCGGCCAAAUAUCCUUGCUACGGUGUAUGCACGGACACCCAAGGAUCGUACGACUGCAACUGUCGUCUAGGUUAUCGAAGCCAUGACCCAAGAACCGAACGAUGUACUGAAAAGUUCCCACUUGCCGCACAGAUUUCCAUAGGUGCAAUAAGUGGCAUUCUCGUCUUGGCACUUAUAAUAUUCGUUUAUGUUCUUCGCAAAGAGAGGCGGGAGGCCAGGGACUUUUACCGAAAGAAUGGUGGCCUUACAUUAAAGGAUGCUGCAAAUAUUAAGAUUUUCAAAAGGGGGGAGCUCAAAGCAAUUUUAAAGAGUCACAAUUUAAUUGGAAAAGGUGCCUUCGGUGAAGUUUACAAGGGUGAUAUUGAUGGAGCUCUAGUUGCAAUAAAGAAACCAAUUGGUGAUAAUGUGCAUGAGAACAAGCAAUUUCCAAAUGAAGUUAUUAUCCAGUCUCAAGUCAUGCAUAGGAAUAUUGUAAGGCUUAGAGGUUGUUGCCUUGAAGUGGAUACCCCCAUGCUAGUGUACGAAUUCAUCUCCAAUGGAAGCUUGGAAGACUUUCUUCACAAGGAUAAAAGCAAGCUUCUCAACUUGGACGUACGUCUAAGUAUUCUUCAAGAAUCAGCACAUGGUCUAUCUUAUAUGCACUCACAAACCCACACCAAAAUCUUGCAUGGUGAUGUUAAACCAGCAAACAUUCUCUUGGAUGAAAAGUUUACGCCGAAGAUCUCAGAUUUUGGCAUAUCAAGGUUGAUUGCAAAAGACAAGGAACAGACUGCCAACAUCAUAGGUGACAUGACUUAUAUGGAUCCAGUAUACCUAAAGACAGGCCGAUUGACCGACAGAAGUGAUGUCUAUAGUUUUGGGGUUGUCAUUUUAGAACUCAUUAGCAGGAAGAAGGCCACUCACUCUGACAAUAAUAGCUUAGUGGGCAGCUUCCAAGAGUGUCAUCAAAGAGGGGAGACAGCACUGAAGUUGUUUGAUCCAGAAAUUGCAACAACAGGCAAUUUCGAAAUUCUUGACAAGCUAGCAAAGAUUGCUAUGGAGUGUCUUCAUCUUGAUGUGGAUCAAAGACCAUCAAUGACAGAUGUUGCAGAGCGCCUUCUCAUACUGCAUAGGUCCCGUAAGCUGUAG
RNAcentral lists this ribosomal RNA (2046 nucleotides) under Triticum aestivum (bread wheat). Its description in RNAcentral is "partial small subunit ribosomal RNA". The record is from RNAcentral. Lineage: Eukaryota; Viridiplantae; Streptophyta; Magnoliopsida; Poales; Poaceae.